Molecule: ribosomal RNA, 465 nt
Filed under: Vreelandella stevensii
Lineage: Bacteria; Pseudomonadati; Pseudomonadota; Gammaproteobacteria; Oceanospirillales; Halomonadaceae
Description: partial 16S ribosomal RNA
Rfam family: Bacterial small subunit ribosomal RNA
Source: RNAcentral
CCUACGGGAGGCUGCAGUGGGGAGUAUUGGACAAUGGGGGCAACCCUGAUCCAGCCAUGCCGCGUGUGUGAAGAAGGCCCUCGGGUUGUAAAGCACUUUCAGUGAGGAAGAACGCCUGGUGGUUAAUACCCAUCAGGAAAGACAUCACUCACAGAAGAAGCACCGGCUAACUCCGUGCCAGCAGCCGCGGUAAUACGGAGGGUGCGAGCGUUAAUCGGAAUUACUGGGCGUAAAGCGCGCGUAGGUGGCUUGAUAAGCCGGUUGUGAAAGCCCCGGGCUCAACCUGGGAACGGCAUCCGGAACUGUCAAGCUAGAGUGCAGGAGAGGAAGGUAGAAUUCCCGGUGUAGCGGUGAAAUGCGUAGAGAUCGGGAGGAAUACCAGUGGCGAAGGCGGCCUUCUGGACUGACACUGACACUGAGGUGCGAAAGCGUGGGUAGCAAACAGGAUUAGAUACCCUAGUAGUC